GCAGUACAAUAUCACUGUGGCAUCAACAUCUCGUCAGCGAAAGACCACAGCCACACCAAACAAGCUCUCAGCAAAUACACAAGCCAAGUUACCAGACCUGAUGUUGAGAGCUGCAAACAAACAUGUUCCACAAGCAACUGUUGACAAGCUUGAUAUCAAUUUCAUAUGUGAGGGUCUACAGCCAUUUGCAGUGGUAGAACAGCCAUCUUUCAAAGAAUUGGUUACCACAUUACAACCUCAAGCCAAAGUCAUCUCCAGACCCACUGUCCGUGCCAGAAUCUGUGAAGCUGCUGAUCACAUGAAGAUGACUUUGGUUGCAGGAUUGGAUAAAGUCAAAUUUGUUGCUACCACUACUGAUUGUUGGUCAGCUCAUCAGAAAAGUUACAGCAUGAAUGACACCUACAAGAGGCUCUCCCGUGCAACCUUUGCAAAAUGCCAGGCCAUUUGGAACAAAACUGGCCGGUCUCAUUUGGCUAAUGAAGUGGUAGAGGACAAGUGUUGUGUCUAAACUCAGACCCCGCUGUAUCCAGGACUUAUUCCCAUGAAAGAAAAACAAGGCAAAAGCGAUUGAUUACUUGCGCAAGGGAGGCCUCAUUGGUAUCUUAGCUCAUCACGAAUGACCCCGACGAUGGCCUCCUCUCGCUGCCUUUUAUUGAGAGACAGUUCACACAAAACAAUAGUACCUCCCCUCAUAAACCCCCUUGGUUACAAAGACAAGGCACUGUAUGCAUAUGUGUGUGUGUGUGUGUGUGUGUGUGUGUGUGUGUGUGUGUGUGUGUGUGUGUGUGUGACCUCCUGCUGGGCAGGAAGCUUACAUCAAAAGGACCUUCACAUGGAUGUUGCCUGUAAUAAAAGACUACAGCUCCCCACCCAGAACCUCGAGAAUCUAGGGAGGGGGACAGUGGAAUUCCUUUCAUCCUACAGUUAAACAAUGUAGAAAUGGAUGGUAAGCAUAAAAAUGACAAACAUUUAACAAUUCACUCUAACAACAAGUGUGAGCUACAGAUCAUUUGUCCCAAUGCAACACGGUGGAAUUCAACCUACCUUGCCAUUGAAAGGAUAAUACGCAUCAUUGAUGAGAAGGGGGAAGAUGCCAUCAGGAGCAUUUGUGAGGAGUUCAAGGUGAAAAUGUUGAGUCCUGCAGAAGUUGCCUUCCUUAGGGAGUACUGUACCACCAUGAAGUCACUGGUGAAAACUUCAAACAUCCUUCAGUCUGAGUCCACUUCCUUUAUGGGAUGGCUCCUGCCAGUAAUCCAACAACUACUGUCCAAACUUAGCAGGCUGGAGACAUCAAGCAAGACGUGUGCCACUCAUCAGAGUCCUGCAAAAUGGCCUUCAAAAGCCUUUUGGACCGAUGAUAGAGGAUCCAGUUCCAGAUCCAGAGUUGGCUGCAGCUGCAGUCCUCUUACCCAAGUUCAAGACUUCCUGGACUGACAGAGCAGAUGUAAUAGAGGCUGCCUUGGCAUACAUUAAACAACAUCUUGAAACGACGGAGCAUGAGAGUGAGGAUCAGCAAAGAGAGUCAUCUGAUGAAGAUGAAUUCUUCUCCAGACCAAUCUCCAGAAGGCUGCAAAGUGCAGCUGAGCUUGAUGGUUAUCUUGCUUGUGCCACAGACACCAUGGAGCUGCUGCACUCCUUCUCAGCCAUCAAAAACCUCUCUCUCUUCAACUGAACACAGCUCUACCUGCUUCUGCUGCGU
Long non-coding RNA from Pelmatolapia mariae (spotted tilapia), 1699 nucleotides. RefSeq lists it as uncharacterized. The record is from RefSeq and is a predicted model, not a curated record. NCBI's taxonomy places the organism in Eukaryota, Metazoa, Chordata, Actinopteri, Cichliformes, Cichlidae. The transcript has 3 exons.